GAUUAACGCUGGCGGCGUGCAUAACACAUGCAAGUCGAACGAAGUGGCGGACGGGUGAGUAACGCGUGAGUAACCUGCCUUAGAGAAGGGGAUAGCCUUUGGAAACGAAGAAUAAUACCCUAUGCUCUAGGAUGGACUUGCGUCUGAUUAGUUAGUUGGUGAGGUAACGGCUCACCAAGACAGCGAUCAGUAGCCGGCUUGAGAGAGUGGCCGGCCACCUUGGGACUGGGACACGGCCCAGACUCUACGGGAGGCAGCAGUGGGGAAUUUUGCACAAUGGGGGAAACCCUGAUGCAGCGACGCCGCGUGAUUUAGAAGGCCUUCGGGUUGUAAAAAGCUUUUCUAUGGGAAGCAGUACCAUAGGAAUAAGGACCGGCUAAUUACGUGCCAGCAGCCGCGGUAAUUC
RNAcentral lists this ribosomal RNA (406 nucleotides) under uncultured bacterium. RNAcentral describes it as "partial 16S ribosomal RNA". It matches the Rfam family "Bacterial small subunit ribosomal RNA", at positions 28 to 526 of the family's 1533-position model. The record is from RNAcentral.